This 78-nucleotide transfer RNA is filed under the name Bacteroidaceae bacterium. Its description in RNAcentral is "tRNA-Ile". It matches the Rfam family "tRNA". From Rfam's summary of the family: Transfer RNA (tRNA) molecules are approximately 80 nucleotides in length. Their secondary structure includes four short double-helical elements and three loops (D, anti-codon, and T loops). Further hydrogen bonds mediate the characteristic L-shaped molecular structure. tRNAs have two regions of fundamental functional importance: the anti-codon, which is responsible for specific mRNA codon recognition, and the 3' end, to which the tRNAs corresponding amino acid is attached (by aminoacyl-tRNA synthetases). tRNAs cope with the degeneracy of the genetic code in two manners: having more than one tRNA (with a specific anti-codon) for a particular amino acid; and 'wobble' base-pairing, i.e. permitting non-standard base-pairing at the 3rd anti-codon position. Lineage: Bacteria; Pseudomonadati; Bacteroidota; Bacteroidia; Bacteroidales; Bacteroidaceae. The record is from RNAcentral.
GUUGGUGUAGCUCAGCUGGUUAGCAGCACCUCGCUGAUACCGAGGAGGUCGGGGGUUCAAGUCCCUCCACCAACACCA